Molecule: ribosomal RNA, 433 nt
Filed under: uncultured bacterium
Lineage: Bacteria
Description: partial 16S ribosomal RNA
Rfam family: Bacterial small subunit ribosomal RNA
Source: RNAcentral
AACGAACGCUGGCGGCAUGCCUAACACAUGCAAGUCGAACGAGACCUUCGGGACUAGUGGCGCCCGGGUGCGUAACGCGUGGGAACCUGCCCUUAGGUUCGGAAUAACUCUCCGAAUGGGGUGCUAAUACCGGAUAAUGUCUUCUGACCAAAGAUUUAUCGCCUUUGGUUGGGCCCGCGUUGGAUUAGCUAGUUGGUAGGGUAAAAGCCUACUACGGCGCCGAUCCAUAGCUGGUCUGAGAGAAUGAUCAGCCACACUUAGAUUAGGACGCGGCCGGGACUCCUACGGGAGGCGGCAGUGGGGGAUAUUGGACAAUGGGCUAAAGCCUGAUGCAGCUAUGAUGCGAGAGUGAUGAAGGCAGUGAGGUUGUAAAGCUCAUUUACCCGGGAUGAUAAUGACGGUACCGGAAGAAUAAGCCCCGGCUAACUCCGUG